This 302-nucleotide unclassified non-coding RNA is filed under the name uncultured fungus. RNAcentral's name for it is "partial contains small subunit ribosomal RNA, internal transcribed spacer 1, and 5.8S ribosomal RNA". The stretch from base 1 to 73 matches the Rfam family "Eukaryotic small subunit ribosomal RNA", at positions 1759 to 1831 of the family's 1831-position model. The record is from RNAcentral. Lineage: Eukaryota; Fungi.
GCAAACUUGGUCAUUUAGAGGAAGUAAAAGUCGUAACAAGGUCUCCGUUGGUGAACCAUCGGAGGGAUCAUUCAAGUACGCCCGCGCGCCCUAAAAGGGAGCCGCGGUACGUUCAGCCCCUGUGAACCGUCUACCUCAAAAUAAACGUUGCCUCGGCGGGAGGUCCUGGGGCACCCGGACCACCGCCGAAGGCCCCUAAGCAAGCUCUAGCCUCUAUGGCCUAUCUCUGAUUUUGACAUUUACGAAUGCCUAAAACUUUCAACAACGGAUCUCUUGGCUCCAGCAUCGAUGAAGAACGCAGC